CCUACGGGAGGCAGCAGUGAGGAAUAUUGGUCAAUGGACGAGAGUCUGAACCAGCCAAGCAGCGUGAAGGAUGACUGCCCUAUGGGUUGUAAACUUCUUUUAUAUGGGAAUAAAAUGUUCCACGUGUGGGAUUUUGUAUGUACCAUAUGAAUAAGGAUCGGCUAACUCCGUGCCAGCCGCCGCGGUAAUACGGAGGAUCCGAGCGUUAUCCGGAUUUAUUGGGUUUAAAGGGAGCGUAGGUGGAUUGUUAAGUCAGUUGUGAAAGUUUGCGGCUCAACCGUAAAAUUGCAGUUGAAACUGGCAGUCUUGAGUACAGUAGAGGUGGGCGGAAUUCGUGGUGUAGCGGUGAAAUGCUUAGAGAUCACGAAGAACUCCGAUUGCGAAGGCAGCUCACUGGACUGCAACUGACACUGAGGCUCGAAAGUGUGGGUAUCAAACAGGAUUAGAUACCCGAGUAGUC
This 460-nucleotide ribosomal RNA is filed under the name uncultured bacterium. RNAcentral describes it as "partial 16S ribosomal RNA". It matches the Rfam family "Bacterial small subunit ribosomal RNA", at positions 338 to 795 of the family's 1533-position model. The record is from RNAcentral.